AUUGAACGCUGGCGGCAGGCCUAACACAUGCAAGUCGAACGGUAGCACAGAGAGCUUGCUCUCGGGUGACGAGUGGCGGACGGGUGAGUAAUGUCUGGGAAACUGCCUGAUGGAGGGGGAUAACUACUGGAAACGGUAGCUAAUACCGCAUAACGUCGCAAGACCAAAGAGGGGGACCUUCGGGCCUCUUGCCAUCAGAUGUGCCCAGAUGGGAUUAGCUAGUAGGUGGGGUAACGGCUCACCUAGGCGACGAUCCCUAGCUGGUCUGAGAGGAUGACCAGCCACACUGGAACUGAGACACGGUCCAGACUCCUACGGGAGGCAGCAGUGGGGAAUAUUGCACAAUGGGCGCAAGCCUGAUGCAGCCAUGCCGCGUGUAUGAAGAAGGCCUUCGGGUUGUAAAGUACUUUCAGCGGGGAGGAAGGCGAUAAGGUUAAUAACCUUGUCGAUUGACGUUACCCGCAGAAGAAGCACCGGCUAACUCCGUG
This 488-nucleotide ribosomal RNA is filed under the name uncultured bacterium. RNAcentral's name for it is "partial 16S ribosomal RNA". It matches the Rfam family "Bacterial small subunit ribosomal RNA", at positions 30 to 507 of the family's 1533-position model. The record is from RNAcentral.